RNAcentral lists this ribosomal RNA (461 nucleotides) under uncultured bacterium. RNAcentral's name for it is "partial 16S ribosomal RNA". It matches the Rfam family "Bacterial small subunit ribosomal RNA", at positions 28 to 506 of the family's 1533-position model. The record is from RNAcentral.
GACGAACGCUGGCGGCGUGCUUAACACAUGCAAGUCGAGCGGUAAGGCCUUUCGGGGUACACGAGCGGCGAACGGGUGAGUAACACGUGGGUGAUCUGCCCUGCACUUCGGGAUAAGCCUGGGAAACUGGGUCUAAUACCGGAUAUGACCUCCUAUCGCAUGGUGGGUGGUGGAAAGAUUUAUCGGUGCAGGAUGGGCCCGCGGCCUAUCAGCUUGUUGGUGGGGUAAUGGCCUACCAAGGCGACGACGGGUAGCCGACCUGAGAGGGUGACCGGCCACACUGGGACUGAGACACGGCCCAGACUCCAACGGGAGGCAGCAGUGGGGAAUAUUGCACAAUGGGCGAAAGCCGGAUGCAGGGACGCCGCGUGAGGGAUGACGGCCUUCGGGUUGUAAACCUCUUUCAGCAGGGACGAAGCGCAAGUGACGGUACCUGCAGAAGAAGCACCGGCUAACUACGG